ACCCCUGUGAGAAUGCCCCAUAGUCCCCUGCCCGAGGACAAGGAGCUGGUAUCAGGCACAGACACCCAUCAGCCCACGACACCUUGCUUAGCCACACCCCCACGGGAACUCAGCAGUGAUAAAUAUUAAGCCAUAAGUGAAAACUUGACUUAGUUAAAGUUAAAAGAGCCGGUUAAACUCGUGCCAGCCACCGCGGUUAUACGAGAGGCUCAAGUUGAUAGCCGUCGGCGUAAAGCGUGGUUAAGAAAUCCUUCAACUAAAGCCGAAUGCCCUCAGAACUGUUAUACGUACCCGAAGGUAAGAAGCCCAAUUACGAAAGUAGCUUUAUUUUCUCUGAACCCACGAAAGCUGUGGAACAAACUGGGAUUAGAUACCCCACUAUGCACAGCCCUAAACUUAGAUAGCACACCACAUCCCCUAUCCGCCCGGGAACUACGAGCACUAGCUUAAAACCCAAAGGACUUGGCGGUGCUUUAUAUCCACCUAGAGGAGCCUGUUCUAAAACCGAUAACCCCCGUUAAACCUCACCCUCUCUUGUCAUUCCCGCCUAUAUACCGCCGUCGUCAGCUUACCCUAUGAAGGCCCAACAGUAAGCAAAAUUAGCAUAGCUCAAAACGCCAGGUCGAGGUGUAGCACAUGAGAGGGGCAGAAAUGGGCUACACUUCCUACUUUAAGGAAAAACGAACAAUGUACUGAAAUAUGCAUUAGAAGGAGGAUUUAGUAGUAAGCAGAAAAUAGAGUGUUCUGCUGAAUCUGGCCCUAAAGCGCGCACACACCGCCCGUCACUCUCCCCUAGCAACACGAUACAUUUUUAUAUAAUUAAUUUACACAGUAAAGGGGAGGCAAGUCGUAACAUGGUAAGUGUACCGGAAGGUGCACUUGGACAAAC
This 889-nucleotide non-coding RNA is filed under the name Ambassis macleayi (Macleay's glass perchlet). Its description in RNAcentral is "partial 12S rRNA". It matches the Rfam family "Bacterial small subunit ribosomal RNA", at positions 307 to 1527 of the family's 1533-position model. The record is from RNAcentral. Lineage: Eukaryota; Metazoa; Chordata; Actinopteri; Ambassidae.